This is a non-coding RNA of Heterocephalus glaber (naked mole-rat), 6282 nucleotides long. NCBI's taxonomy places the organism in Eukaryota, Metazoa, Chordata, Mammalia, Rodentia, Bathyergidae. The record is from RefSeq and is a predicted model, not a curated record.
ACAGGGCACUGCAUACUGCUGGUCUUGUUCUCUUUUUCUUUGCUCCUUGGGGACCACAAGGUGAACAGCUUCUCCACCGGCACCCUGGCAUGGUGCACUGCUUUGCCACAGACCCAAAAGUGAGGGGUCACUGGAACCGCAACUUCCAGAACUGUGAGCCAAGACAAACCUUUUCUUCUUACAAGAUGAUUGUCUCAGGUAUUUUGUACAGUAAUAGAAGUGAGAUUUAAAAGGGAAGCAGAUGACCGGUUUUAAAGCAUUUAGAAACAAUGGUUUGGGGUCAUGAAACUUGGACUCUUGUACAUUGUGAUGUGUCAUUGCUUCCUGGAGAAAUGAGGUUGCAGGAACAAAAUGAAGGAAGGGAAAACAGAAGGGAAUACAGAGUCUAGAUAGAGUAUUUGCAUCUGUUUCCUAUUGCUGGGAGAAAAUGCCUGCCACAUACAAUUCAAAGUAAAAAGGAUUUAUUUUGGCUCAAGGUUUCAGUCCUUGCUUGGCUGACUGCAAGGUAGAAACUGCCUGGGGCAAGGUUUGGGAGCGAGAGAGAACCAGGGAAGAAAGAAGGAGACAGGGGCAAGAAUAUGGCCUUGGGGUUCACCCCGCCAUGACAGUGUCAAUGUGAGUGAGAAACACCCAACUAAAUUGGAUAGCACAGUUCUGGUGUGGCUGAGGGGACUCACUGAAGACUUCCCAGGAUUUACUGGGUGUGAGUGACAGCAACCAAUGGGCUUGCCGCCUGAAGGGAAUAAAAGGGGAACAAAGAAGGAAGUCUCCUUUCGGUUUCUUCGGACGAGCUCCAGUCUUUGCCUUCACCUUGGAUGAAGUCCACUGGCUUCCAGCGCAGACUCUUCCACCUUUCAUUGCAGAGCAUUUGGCCUCCUGGGCCCUGCCUCAUUCUCCAGAGGAAGCGAGCAAGAUGUGCAUUCCUUGUUCCAGGAGGAGCCCUGCCUCAUCCACAGGAGGAGGGAAUUAACGGCAAAGCAGCCCCAGCAGGCCUGGCAGGAGACUUCCGGAAGAAGCCCCUGUGGUCACGGGAGAGGACAGUGCAGUUUUCAGCUUAGGCAACAAUAUGAAGAAAACAUUGAAGAAAAGAGCAUUGUACAUAGCAGAAUGGACACUCAGGAAGAAACCAUUUCACAUGGUGAGUGGCACUUAUGAGGAACAAAGAAGUGGAAAGAGUGCUGCUGAAUCGGCCUGCUCACCUUCAUCAUAACUAUCACACUGUCAUUGCCAGUGGACUGAAUGGUGGCCAAAGGAUGUGUCCACUUCCCCUGAACCAGAAUCUGGGGUAUUGCCUUCUGUGGCAAGUGGUGGGAUUAAACAAAGGAGCUUAAGAGGAAAACCUGGGUUAUCUGGAUAGGCUCCAGAUGCCCUCCCAUGGGUCCCUGUGGUAGAGGCAGGAGCAGAUUCAGCUCCAGACACAAAGAAGGGAGUGUGCAGACUCCGGAGAUAAAGCAGAGGAAGACGUGGUUACAGGAGAGAGACGCCAGCAGCCACCCCAGGCUGGAAGAGACAAGGAAUGGGCUUUCCUCUAAGCCUUCUGAGGGAGUGUGUUCCUAACCACACACUGAUUCCAGACCUCCACCUGCCAUAACUGUGAGCAAUUAUGUUCUGUUGUUGUAAGGGUGAAAGUUUCUGGUACCCUCUGACUUGGAUUCUAGUUAUUCUGUUUGUCUUAUUUUGGCAACUAUAUUGUUCUUUGCUCAAAAGUUGAGUGGACCUUAUUUAUAGCCUCUAAGAUAUCAAGAUUAGUGUUCAACACACAGCACUAGAAUGCUUGAGGACAGAGCUGCAAUAUAAUCAAUAUAUAAAAAAUAAACCUUGACUAAGUAGUACAUUAUUUAGUGGGAGAAUACAAGUAAGUAAAUCCACUCUUAUAGCGUAGUGUAUUUAUUUACCUUUUGAAAAGCACUGUGCUGUAGGAGGAUCCUGGAGUGAAUCCUGGCCCCAAAUUAGAACAUUUUAAGAAAAAAUCCUUAAGAAGUGAGAUCUGCUUCACUUGGAAGUUGAAAAAAAUUUAUCCAGUUAAGAAGAUGGAGAUAUACACUUCAUAAAAUAGAACACUGUAGGUACAAUAUCCUGAAGGAAAGGCAAAGCAUGGCAUAUUCAGGGAAUCAGAGUAAUUUUAGUUGUUGAAAUUGUAGAGAAUAGAAUGUAAGAGUGAAGGAUAGGAUUUAGGGCAGUGGAGAAAUGAGAUCUGAUACUUCAAAAACUAAAGCAGAUCAUAAACAUUUUUAAAUGGCAUAGUAAUUCAGAUUCCAAAUAUCGAUAUUUUUGUGUUAUAUGCAAAGCACGGGAACUACCUGAUAGAAAACUGUAUCAGUGGGAGGAAGACAGAAGAGUCUGGCAGGGAACAUGGGUUAGAAGUUAACUGGAAUCAUCUAAAUGAGAGAAAGUAGGAUCCUUAACUAGGUUAUUGACUGUAUGUAUGGGGAGCUCUGAGAAGCUAUAAAAUAUUCACCAAAGGCAACAACAGAACAUGAGCUGAAAAUGGAAAAGUAAGAGGACAAAGAAAUGAAAAUGUAAUUGUAGCAUCUCCAGCCCUGAUGGAGUGGCCAGGGCAGAAUCAGCCUUCCUGCCAUGAAAUGCCAUGACUGGUAAGAAGAUAUUUGCAUGUUGAACAUCCACGGGUAACACUAGCACAUGGCAGGAGUGAAGACUCCUCUGUUCGUCUUGUAGAAUUUACAAGUGACAUGGAAAAGAGUGGGUGCAAUUCCUGCCCGAAGAAAGAAAAAAAAAAUCUAGACAACUUGUAAAAUUAACAGCCAUAAUUCCCAGCACAAAACUUCAAAGUGGACUACUGGAUGUGAAGAUGUUGGAAAAUUAAAUUCAUCACCAGAAUAAAAAAGUCUGUCAAUGGAAUGUAUAGCAAUGCAUAUUGGUCACAGUGAUCUCAAACUUGAUGAUAAUUAUUGGGCAUGGAAUCCAGAAGUCUCAAGGAUCCGCAGGCAGAAGAAAGAGAGCCCAGGAAACUAAGGCAUUCCCAGAACCAAAUUGCUAAAACCCAACAGUGAAGAGAGAAUUUCAAUGGAAUCAGAUUUAAAAUAAGAGGAACACACACUGUGUAAGGGAAGGUUGGGGAAGGGUGGGAUAGUCUGACAAUGAACUUUACCAGAGACACAAGAAAGUGGAAGACAGGAGCCAACACAUCGACGGUACCACGAGGACAGAGAGCACCACCACCAAACAACCAAAAUCCUGCAGCAAGUAAGUACAGUAAAUGCAUUUUCUUAAACAAUGAGAGUAAAAUCAGUACAAAAGCCAAAAGACCUUCUUAUUAGCAGAAGUAUACUAUAAGCAACGCUAAAGGGAGUUUUGGAAGUCUGAAGAGAUGUUACGGCAACCAAAGCCUUGACUAUAUGGAAAGAAAUGAGGAAGAAUGGAAACCAUUAAUUCAUGUUCAAAAGUGAAACCACAUCUCUUUCUUUCUAACUUGAUUUUUUAAAAAGCCAACUGACUAAAGCAUAUUAAUGGCAUUGUAAUCUGCUGUCUAUUAUACUUGCAAGUAAAAUAUAAAAUAAUGAUAGCAGACAGUACAUAGUGGGAAAAAUUAGAAACAAAUGAUCAAAACUGACACAAAUAAUUGGAAAAUUUACUUAUGCCAAUAUUUAUUACAGAAACCAGAUUUCUAAUUUAAAAAUCCUCAGAAAGAAAACUCGGCCCAAAUAGGUUCAAUGAAAGAUUCUAUCAAAUAAUGAAGAAUUAAUGAAAACCAACUGUAACCAAACAGUUUCAGAAAAUAGCAAAAUGUUGAUUAAUAUAUAAAAACCAUCAGCAAAUGAUUAGAAAUGAAGUUAAAAAAUUCUCAUUUUACAACAGCAUUAAAUGUAUAUGAUACUUAGGCAUAAGGGGAAAGAAAUACAGCAAUACCUAUCGCCUAAAAUGUGUAAAUCAUUGCUGGAAUAAUUUGAAGUUGACCUAAGACCAUAGAAAAAUAUACCAAUCUCAUGGAUUAAUAGAAGCAAAGUUGUUAAUACUUCAGUAUCCACCAGUCAAUGUAUACAUUCAGUGCAGUCCAUUCAAAAUCUCUGUGGAUUUAUUUUUAGUGAAUGUUGUCCUGAUUGUACCACAUAUAUGGAAAUGUAAAUGACCUAGAAGGACACAAGUAAUUUUCCAAAGGAACAACAAUAUUAAAGAUUUUAUACUACGUGAUUUCAAGAAUUUAUACAAAAAUAUAGCAAUUGAUGCAGCCAAUCAUAUCAUGGAACAGAAAAGCGACCAGAAAGAGACCCUUUGUAGUAAAUUUUUUAAAGAACCGUAUGUCCAACCACACUAUCAGUAAAGAAAUCUAUUCCAUGUGUAGCACUGUAAAAUCAGGUAUGUAUAUGGAGGAAAUAGGAAAAUAAAUUUCAUUAAUAAAAACGACUUGUUCAUUCACCAGACUAAACAUAAAUAGGCAAACAUAGACUGGGGAAAUAUUCACAAUACAUAUAUAGCUGAAAAAUAAUUGCCCUUUAUCCAGAAUGUCAAAAAAAGUAUACAUCUUCUUAGUAAAAGGCACUCCAGUCAGCAGAUGGACAAACGUACCUCAACAGGCAUUUCAUGGAAGAUUACAAGUGGCGAACAGCCUGUAAAAGUGUUCACCGUCGGCCACGAGAAAAAUGAACAUUAUCAUGAAACACCGUGAUGCAAAAGCUACAAUUAAUGAAGUUUGCUAAUGAGAUGGGGAAUUCCAAUUUUGCAGACUAUGGAACAGCUGGAGACUCUCGAGAGUGCAGAGCGAUACAGUCACUUUGGAGGUCAGUCCGCAGCCCUGGGUAAAGUCAGACACAGAUCCUAUGGCCAGGAAUUUCCAUUCUCCACAGAAAGACCGGGGCACAUGUGUGCACAGCCGUUUUAUCCACCAUUGACAAAACUAGGAACAUUUCAAAUAAAUGUGUUUCAUUGGAAGAGUGAAAGAAUAUUCGUGUUAUAACCUUUCAGUGAAAUACUGUACAGCGAUAAUCAAGCAAAUUGCUCAUGUGCACAAUAACAGAAGUUCAUCUUAAAAACAUCAUGGUAAGGAAAAGAAAGUCAUGGGAAAGUAUGGUAUACUUUCAUAUGCAUGAAAUUCUAGAAAGUACAUAGAAAACACUAUUCCUUGUGAGAAGGGCUAAUGGAAAUAUCUACAUACACAUGAAGGGACAUUAAAAAACACAGAGGCUGGCGUUAUAUUUUUCAGGUCACAAUAUUUUUCAUAAAGGUCAACAUAUUUUGCCAACACUGGAUUUAAAAAAAGAAUAUUUCAAGGCUGGGAAGCUCCUAGUUAGCAGGUAGCAGUGUCUGUAGAGCAUUUUGCAGUUUGUGUGACGGUGGCCUCCGCAGGAGUGUCUCAUGUCCUUCACAGCUUGUCAAUAUCCCACUGGACCUUUAUACACUUGAAAAAUGCUUUGAGUCUAAACCUCAUCCUCUCUCUAUGAAGGUAAACCAUGGUUUACAAUGUUUGUUACAUACAUAUUUGUGUGUCCACCCAGAGGCUUGGAAGUGUUGGCCACCAGUUUACAACUCAUCUCACCGAUGAGCGGCCAGGCACGCCUGGUACUGAAGCUGCUGAUACAGUGCUGGUCUCGGAGGUGACAAGGUCACCAGUGUCACCCUAAAGUAAUUCAACAUGAGUGGAAACUUCUGACCAGUACUUUGCCAGAGUUUUAGUGAGUUGUGCAGGGCAUCAAGUUUGUGAUUGUGUAUAUGUAUAUACACUCAUUUUACAUUUCUUUUACUUAAUCUCUCUAUUAUUCUAUGACUGCAAUUAUGUUAAAACAUGCAUGCAGUUCUGUUGCAUUCCAGAUAGUUGGGGAAUGUAUUCAUGCACUCUAAUCAAAAGGGAUCAUGGACCUGGUAGAGUUGAGACUUUAUUCUGAAAGGAGCUCCACAUUGGUUCAUUACCAUAUUCACCAUGAUACUAAGGAAUCAGCAAGCACUGGCCAGAUAGACAUGGAGCAGACAGCGCUCUGGGCUUCUGAGUCAGGAGUCUUCACGGAGCCUUCUAAGAGCUGUGAGGGUUUAGAAAGCAGGGGAGGAGCAGAGGCUUAGUUCAGGAGGAAGGCUCUGGAGUGUGUGUGGAUUUUGUAAAUGAAGGAACAUGACAGAAGUCACUUUCUUUCUUCCGUGGAUUACCUGUUGUGUCUAUGUAUGUUCCUCCGUGUGUUGUUUUCUUGUUCAGAUCCUUUUCAGCACCUAGAAUGAACUCACUAUAUUUUCUGAGCUUCAAACUCUUUUUAGAUUCAGAUUAUUUUUUUGAGACAGGGUCUCAUAUGUGGUUUAGAUUGGGCUUGAACUCGCUAUGUAGCACAGGCUGGCCUCUAA